ACAGUGUUACAAUCAACAAAUUCAGGGGGGGCAUCAAUUGCUUCAUCAGAUAUACUGUUAGUUUAUCUCUAAUAUCAGUAGUUGUAACAGCUGUAAGUUCAUUUGUAAUAGUAGGUAAGUCCUUUAGGCUGCUCCCUAGUUUUUCACUCCAAGGUGGAUCUGGAUGCUGAUUUUGCGAAAU
Long non-coding RNA from Thalassophryne amazonica, 181 nucleotides. RefSeq lists it as uncharacterized. The record is from RefSeq and is a predicted model, not a curated record. NCBI's taxonomy places the organism in Eukaryota, Metazoa, Chordata, Actinopteri, Batrachoidiformes, Batrachoididae. The transcript has 3 exons.